RNAcentral lists this ribosomal RNA (253 nucleotides) under uncultured bacterium. Its description in RNAcentral is "partial 16S ribosomal RNA". It matches the Rfam family "Bacterial small subunit ribosomal RNA", at positions 524 to 776 of the family's 1533-position model. The record is from RNAcentral.
UACGUAGGGUCCGAGCGUUGUCCGGAAUUAUUGGGCGUAAAGGGCUCGUAGGCGGUUUGUCACGUCGGGCGUGAAAACUCAGGGCUCAACCCUGAGCGUGCGUUCGAUACGGGCAGACUAGAGGUAUGCAGGGGAGAACGGAAUUCCUGGUGUAGCGGUGGAAUGCGUAGAGAUCCGGAGGAACACCAGCGGCGAAGGCGGCAUCCUGGACUGGUCCUGACGCUCAGGAGCGAAAGCGUGGGGAGCGAUCCGG